This 396-nucleotide ribosomal RNA is filed under the name uncultured bacterium. RNAcentral's name for it is "partial 16S ribosomal RNA". It matches the Rfam family "Bacterial small subunit ribosomal RNA", at positions 523 to 918 of the family's 1533-position model. The record is from RNAcentral.
AUACGUAGGUGGCAAGCGUUGUCCGGAAUUAUUGGGCGUAAAGCGCAUGUAGGCGGUUUGGUAAGUCGGUCGUGAAAAUGCGGUGCUUAACGCCGUAUGGCGAUUGAAACUGCUGAACUUGAGUGCAGGAGAGGAAAGGGGAACUCCCAGUGUAGCGGUGAAAUGCGUAGAUAUUGGGAAGAACACCGGUGGCGAAGGCGCCUUGCUGGACUGUGUCUGACGCUCAGAUGCGAAAGCCAGGGUAGCGAACGGGAUUAGAUACCCCGGUAGUCCGGGCCGUAAACGAUGGGUACUAGGUGUGGGAGGUAUCGACUCCUUCCGUGCCGGAGUUAACGCAAUAAGUACCCCGCCUGGGGAGUACGGCCGCAAGGCUUAAACUCAAAUGAAUUGACGGGG